Molecule: long non-coding RNA, 782 nt
Filed under: Homo sapiens (human)
Lineage: Eukaryota; Metazoa; Chordata; Mammalia; Primates; Hominidae
Description: HSALNT0364465
Source: RNAcentral
CAGCCACUGGUGUUACCAUUAGAUAUGCAGCUUCAGGGACUUAUUUUGUCUCACCAAUCCUACUUUCCUCGUCAAUAAAGUGAGAACGAGAGUGUCUGCCUUGCAUGCAUCAGAAACUGUGAAGAUACAAUCAAGUAAUACAAGCUGUACAGAAUGAGAUAAUGAAGCCUACAUUUUAAAAUAUAGCAGGCAUCUACCAAUCAUAACGCAGUUUCACUUUCAUUACGACGUUUAACUUUUUCUGACAACAACCUUAUGAGGUAGGAUUAUAAUGAUGUUUAUUUUACAUGUGAUGAAAGUUGGGUUCCUUCAUUUAAUAGAUGCUCCUUGAGCAGGUUCUGUGAACAAGACAAGACCAUGGGAAUUGUAGUUGAGAAGAGGAAACAGACUGCAGUAGAGACGGGGUUUCACCGUGUUAGCCAGGAUGGUCUCGAUCUCCUGACCUCUUGAUCCGCUCACCUUGGCCUCCCAAAGUGCUGGGAUUACAGGCGUGAGCCACCGCGCCCGGCCUUUUAUCCUACUUUCAAAAAACAUACCCAGAGUCUGAGUGUUUCUCCUUACCUCCAGCGCCACUCCAUGGCCCGAGCUCUGUUUCACCUGGUUCUCACCUGGAUCGCGGCCUCCAAUUUGCGCAGUGACCCCUACAGUCUAUUCUCCAAACAGCAGCUGGCGUGGUCAUUAUGAAAAGCAAUGUCCACCUGCUGCUCAAAAACCCACGAAUGGCUCCCCAUUUCUUUCCCAUUAAAGCCAAAGUCUAAAACAUUUACAAAGCGUUAUAUGAU